Molecule: ribosomal RNA, 253 nt
Filed under: uncultured bacterium
Lineage: Bacteria
Description: partial 16S ribosomal RNA
Rfam family: Bacterial small subunit ribosomal RNA
Source: RNAcentral
UACAGAGGUCCCAAGCGUUGUUCGGAUUCACUGGGCGUAAAGGGUGCGUAGGCGGUCGGGUAAGUCUGACGUGAAAUCUCCGGGCCUAACCCGGAAACUGCGUCGGAUACUAUCCGGCUAGAGGAUUGGAAGGGAGACUGGAAUACUUGGUGUAGCAGUGAAAUGCGUAGAUAUCGGGAGGAACACCUGUGGCGAAAGCGGCGCACUGGACCAUAACUGACGCUGAGGCGCGAAAGCUAGGGGAGCAAACAGG